This 646-nucleotide ribosomal RNA is filed under the name uncultured bacterium. Its description in RNAcentral is "bacterial SSU rRNA". It matches the Rfam family "Bacterial small subunit ribosomal RNA", at positions 163 to 807 of the family's 1533-position model. The record is from RNAcentral.
CUAAUACCCAAUGAUAUCUCUAGAAGGCAUCUGAAAGAGAUUAAAGAUUUAUCGGUGAUGGAUGGGGAUGCGUCUGAUUAGCCUGUUGGCGGGGUAACGGCCCACCAAGGCAACGAUCAGUAGGGGUUCUGAGAGGAAGGUCCCCCACAUUGGAACUGAGACACGGUCCAAACUCCUACGGGAGGCAGCAGUGAGGAAUAUUGGUCAAUGGACGAGAGUCUGAACCAGCCAAGUAGCGUGCAGGAUGACGGCCCUAUGGGUUGUAAACUGCUUUUAUAAGGGAAUAAAGUGAGUCUCGUGAGACUUUUUGCAUGUACCUUAUGAAUAAGGACCGGCUAAUUCCGUGCCAGCAGCCGCGGUAAUACGGAAGGUCCGGGCGUUAUCCGGAUUUAUUGGGUUUAAAGGGAGCGUAGGCCGGAGAUUAAGCGUGUUGUGAAAUGUAGAUGCUCAACAUCUGAACUGCAGCGCGAACUGGUUUCCUUGAGUACGCACAAAGUGGGCGGAAUUCGUGGUGUAGCGGUGAAAUGCUUAGAUAUCACGAAGAACUCCGAUUGCGAAGGCAGCUCACUGGAGCGCAACUGACGCUGAAGCUCGAAAGUGCGGGUAUCGAACAGGAUUAGAUACCCUGGUAGUCCGCACGGUAAAC